UUAAUAGAAGCUAAAUAGAAGCUAAUCUUUGUUAAAGAUUAAAUUGAGACUGAACCUCCUAUUAUC
This 66-nucleotide transfer RNA is filed under the name Neoseiulus womersleyi. RNAcentral describes it as "tRNA-Asn". Lineage: Eukaryota; Metazoa; Arthropoda; Arachnida; Mesostigmata; Phytoseiidae. The record is from RNAcentral.